RNAcentral lists this transfer RNA (79 nucleotides) under Sinorhizobium phage phiN3. RNAcentral's name for it is "tRNA-His". It matches the Rfam family "tRNA". Rfam says of the family: Transfer RNA (tRNA) molecules are approximately 80 nucleotides in length. Their secondary structure includes four short double-helical elements and three loops (D, anti-codon, and T loops). Further hydrogen bonds mediate the characteristic L-shaped molecular structure. tRNAs have two regions of fundamental functional importance: the anti-codon, which is responsible for specific mRNA codon recognition, and the 3' end, to which the tRNAs corresponding amino acid is attached (by aminoacyl-tRNA synthetases). tRNAs cope with the degeneracy of the genetic code in two manners: having more than one tRNA (with a specific anti-codon) for a particular amino acid; and 'wobble' base-pairing, i.e. permitting non-standard base-pairing at the 3rd anti-codon position. The record is from RNAcentral. Lineage: Duplodnaviria; Heunggongvirae; Uroviricota; Caudoviricetes.
UUCAUGGAUGGUGUUAGUCAGGUAGCACGCGGCACUGUGGAUGCCGAAGCAUAGGUUCAAAUCCUAUUCCAUGGACCAC